RNAcentral lists this signal recognition particle RNA (262 nucleotides) under Candidatus Pelethocola excrementipullorum. RNAcentral's name for it is "signal recognition particle sRNA large type". It matches the Rfam family "Bacterial large signal recognition particle RNA". From Rfam's summary of the family: The signal recognition particle (SRP) is a universally conserved ribonucleoprotein involved in the co-translational targeting of proteins to membranes. Archaeal SRP consists of a 7S RNA and homologues of the eukaryotic SRP19 and SRP54 proteins. Lineage: Bacteria; Bacillati; Bacillota; Clostridia; Lachnospirales; Lachnospiraceae. The record is from RNAcentral.
CCGUGCAGCCGGGGAGAUAGCGGUGCCCUAUACCUGCAAUCCGCUACAGCAGGGGUGAUGCCGAACAGAGGGCUUUUCAUUGCGAAGCUGGCCUUUAUAAGUGGCGAUGACGUCUGGGUCUCGCGCAACGGAAAUCUAUGAAUCGUGUCAGGGCAGGAAUGCAGCAGCACUAAAUAGAACCUUUCGUGUGCCGUGAGGGUGCCUGGGCCGAGUUAACUGUAAAGGUAACGUUCGUGAUGGAGGUUCGAAGGGAGGCGCACGG